This 456-nucleotide ribosomal RNA is filed under the name uncultured Anaerolineaceae bacterium. Its description in RNAcentral is "bacterial SSU rRNA". It matches the Rfam family "Bacterial small subunit ribosomal RNA", at positions 912 to 1382 of the family's 1533-position model. The record is from RNAcentral. Lineage: Bacteria; Bacillati; Chloroflexota; Anaerolineae; Anaerolineales; Anaerolineaceae.
GACGGGGACCCGCACAAGCAGCGGAGCGUGUGGUUUAAUUCGAUGCUACACGAAGAACCUUACCAGGGUUUGACAUGCAAGCGGUAGGAAACUGAAAGGGACCGACCCUUCGGGAGCUUGCACAGGUGCUGCAUGGCUGUCGUCAGCUCGUGUCGUGAGAUGUUCGGUUAAGUCCGCUAACGAGCGCAACCCUCACUGUGUGUUAUAUGUGUCACACGGGACUGCCGGUUUUAAGCCGGAGGAAGGUGGGAUGACGUCAAGUCAGCAUGGCCUUUAUAUCCUGGGCUACACACACGCUACAAUGGUCGGUACAAUAGGUUGCCAAGCCGCGAGGCGGAGCCAAUCCAAAAAAGCCGGCCUCAGUUCAGAUUGUAGGCUGCAACUCGCCUGCAUGAAGAUGGAGUUGCUAGUAACCGCAGGUCAGCACGCCCGCGGUCCGAAUACGUUCCGGGCCUU